CAGUAGCCGCGGUAAGACAGAGGAUGCAAGCGUUAAUCGGAAUUACUGGGCGUAAAGCGCGCGUAGGUGGUUUGUUAAGUUGGAUGUGAAAGCCCCGGGCUCAACCUGGGAACUGCAUCCAAAACUGGCAAGCUAGAGUACGGUAGAGGGUGGUGGAAUUUCCUGUGUAGCGGUGAAAUGCGUAGAUAUAGGAAGGAACACCAGUGGCGAAGGCGACCACCUGGACUGAUACUGACACUGAGGUGCGAAAGCGUGGGGAGCAAACAGGAUUAGAUACCCGUGUAGUCCCUGUCUCUUAUAC
Molecule: ribosomal RNA, 301 nt
Filed under: uncultured bacterium
Lineage: Bacteria
Description: partial 16S ribosomal RNA
Rfam family: Bacterial small subunit ribosomal RNA
Source: RNAcentral